RNAcentral lists this unclassified non-coding RNA (339 nucleotides) under soil metagenome. RNAcentral's name for it is "partial contains 5.8S ribosomal RNA, internal transcribed spacer 2, and large subunit ribosomal RNA". The stretch from base 1 to 120 matches the Rfam family "5.8S ribosomal RNA", at positions 35 to 154 of the family's 154-position model. The record is from RNAcentral.
GAUGAAGAACGUAGCGAAAUGCGAUACGUAGUGUGAAUUGCAGAAUUCAGUGAAUCAUCGAAUCUUUGAACGCACAUUGCACCUCUCGGUAUUCCGGGAGGUAUGCCUGUUCGAGCGUCAUUUGUACCCUCAAGCUCUGCUUGGUGUUGGGUGUUUGUUCCGCCUCUGUGUGUGAACUCGCCUCAAAACAAUUGACAGCCGGCGUACUUGUUUCGGAGCGCAGCACAUUUUGCGAUCCAGAUCAACGUACAGCGGCAUCCAAGAAGCCUUAUUUAACGCUCUUGACCUCGGAUCAGGUAGGGAUACCCGCUGAACUUAAGCAUAUCAAUAAGCGGAGGA